Molecule: long non-coding RNA, 484 nt
Organism: Topomyia yanbarensis
Lineage: Eukaryota; Metazoa; Arthropoda; Insecta; Diptera; Culicidae
Exons: 3
Source: RefSeq, a predicted model, not a curated record
AUUGGAUGUGAUAGUGAAGGAUUGGACUGGUUCAAUAGAGAUGUGCAACCCAAACGACUCCAAUCUGAUCAGGCAGGAUGCGGUUAACUACAUUGUUAGCGUGCAGACGCUCGAAAUCUACGCUAAAGCAGUUUUCUACCAGGGUUCACCAAAAAAUCCAGGAAACGGAGGCGAUGAUUGGAUGUACACUGAGAGCUAACACUCGUGAUGUUCCGUCCGUUCCGGCGCAUACUCCAUAUACGUUUUUAUAUCAUUUUCCGAAGAAAUUUCAACUUGAGCAUGCAUUGAGGUCUUGGAACGUUUGUUUCACGAUAAAUGGCUUUUUUAAAUCAUCUAAAACUCGUGUGCUGAUUGGACUCGGGUGACCUCCGGAAGGCUAAUCUUCGAAAUUGGUGAUUUUGCGCCCCUCUCACAUUCAGAUGCGAGAGAAAAGUCAGAAGCAGCUCGGAAUGGGAGUGAACAUACCCCACAUCAGAAAGGAUGG